This 398-nucleotide ribosomal RNA is filed under the name uncultured Glomeromycotina. Its description in RNAcentral is "SSU rRNA". It matches the Rfam family "Eukaryotic small subunit ribosomal RNA", at positions 569 to 970 of the family's 1831-position model. Lineage: Eukaryota; Fungi; Glomeromycota. The record is from RNAcentral.
AGCAGCCGCGGUAAAUUCCAGCUCCAAUAGCGUAUAUUAAAGUUGUUGCAGUUAAAAAGCUCGUAGUUGAAUUUCGGGAUCAAUAUAUCGGUCGUGCCAUUGGUACGUACUGGUAUCAUUGGUUUCUCCUUUCUGACGAACCAUGAUGUCAUUAAUUUGGUGUUAUGGGAAGUUAGGACUGUUACUUUGAAAAAAUUAGAGUGUUUAAAGCAGGCUUUAGCUUGAAUACAUUAGCAUGGAAUAAUGAAAUAGGACGUUCGAACCUAUUUUGUUGGUUUCUAGGAUCAACGUAAUGAUUAAUAGGGAUAGUUGGGGGCAUUAGUAUUCAAUUGUCAGAGGUGAAAUUCUUGGAUUUAUUGAAGACUAACUACUGCGAAAGCAUUUGCCAAGGAUGUUUU